Molecule: ribosomal RNA, 208 nt
Filed under: uncultured bacterium
Lineage: Bacteria
Description: partial 16S ribosomal RNA
Rfam family: Bacterial small subunit ribosomal RNA
Source: RNAcentral
CUCGUAGGCGGUUCAACAAGUCGGUCGUGAAAGCCCGGGGCUCAACCCCGGGACGCCGGUCGAAACUGUUGUGACUUGAGUUCGGUAGAGGUGAGUGGAAUUCUCGGUGUAGCGGUGGAAUGCGCAGAUAUCGAGAGGAACACCCGUAGCGAAGGCGGCUCACUGGGCCGAUACUGACGCUGAGGAGCGAAAGCGUGGGGAGCAAACA